This 32-nucleotide non-coding RNA is filed under the name Homo sapiens (human). The record is from RNAcentral. Lineage: Eukaryota; Metazoa; Chordata; Mammalia; Primates; Hominidae.
CCCAAGUGGGAGAGGCCCCUAAGCCUCUGAGC